This 484-nucleotide ribosomal RNA is filed under the name uncultured bacterium. RNAcentral's name for it is "partial 16S ribosomal RNA". It matches the Rfam family "Bacterial small subunit ribosomal RNA", at positions 28 to 507 of the family's 1533-position model. The record is from RNAcentral.
GAUGAACGCUAGCGGCAGGCCUAACACAUGCAAGCCGAGCGGUAGUUGUUCUUCUGAACAUCGAUAGCGGCGCACGGGGGCGGAACACGUGUGCAAGCUGCCUUUACCUGGGGGAUUGCCUUUCGUAAGGGAGAUUAAAACCCCAUAAUAUAUUGAGUGUCAACAUUUGAGAUUGAAAACUCCGGAGGUUAGAGAUGGGCCCGCGCAAGAUUAGAUAGUUGGUGAGGUAACGGCUUACCAAGGCAACGAUGCAUAGCCGACCUGAGAGGGUGAUCGGCCACACUGGAACUGAGACACGGUCCAGACUCCUACGGGAGGCAGCAGUAGGGAAUCUUCCGCAAUGGGCGAAAGCCUGACGGAGCAACGCCGCGUGAGUGAUGAAGGUCUUCGGAUCGUAAAACUCUGUUAUUAGGGAAGAACAUAUGUGUAAGUAACUGUGCACAUCUUGACGGUACCUAAUCAGAAAGCCACGGCUAACUACGUG